GUUUCCCAUGCUUACUCUUCUCAACAAGAUCAAGUACUACAUCUACAUUGAAAUCCAACAAUAGAUUUAAUGAGUGAUGGAGGUUAAAUAUGAACAUUCAGUCAUCACUUGCUGGGAGGGAAUUAGUAAUUUGUAGGGAAUAGUAUUGACAGCAAGGCGUAAGAUUUAAUUAAAAAAUAGGGGACGAGUAAAGAGAUUAUCCAAAGAGUUUCUUGGACAUCAUUCGUUUUCUCUCAGAGCAAAAUCUGGCACUCCGUGGACAUCGCAAACAAUUUAAAG
This is a non-coding RNA of Biomphalaria pfeifferi, 279 nucleotides long. The record is from the annotation of a GenBank genome assembly. Lineage: Eukaryota; Metazoa; Mollusca; Gastropoda; Planorbidae.